CGGCUCAGAUUGAACGCUGGCGGCAUGCCUUACACAUGCAAGUCGAACGGUAACAGGUUAAGCUGACGAGUGGCGAACGGGUGAGUAAUGUAUCGGAACGUGCCUAGUCGUGGGGGAUAACGUAGCGAAAGCUACGCUAAUACCGCAUACGAUCCAUGGAUGAAAGCGGGGGACCUUCGGGCCUCGCGCGAUUAGAGCGGCCGAUAUCAGAUUAGGUAGUUGGUGGGGUAAAGGCCCACCAAGCCGACGAUCUGUAGCUGGUCUGAGAGGACGACCAGCCACACUGGGACUGAGACACGGCCCAGACUCCUACGGGAGGCAGCAGUGGGGAAUUUUGGACAAUGGGCGCAAGCCUGAUCCAGCAAUGCCGCGUGCAGGAUGAAGGCCUUCGGGUUGUAAACUGCUUUUGUACGGAGCGAAAAGGCUCUCUCUAAUAAAGGGGGCUCAUGACGGUACCGUAAGAAUAAGCACCGGCUAACUACGUG
RNAcentral lists this ribosomal RNA (485 nucleotides) under uncultured bacterium. Its description in RNAcentral is "bacterial SSU rRNA". It matches the Rfam family "Bacterial small subunit ribosomal RNA", at positions 20 to 507 of the family's 1533-position model. The record is from RNAcentral.